Molecule: ribosomal RNA, 1196 nt
Filed under: Photobacterium leiognathi
Lineage: Bacteria; Pseudomonadati; Pseudomonadota; Gammaproteobacteria; Vibrionales; Vibrionaceae
Description: bacterial SSU rRNA
Rfam family: Bacterial small subunit ribosomal RNA
Source: RNAcentral
GGGAUUAGCUUUUGGGAGGUAAGGCUCACCAAGGCAACGAUCCCUAGCGGUUUGAGNNGAUGUUCAGCCCCCCGGAACUGAGACCCGGUCCAGAUUCCUACGGGAGGCAGCAGUGGGGAAUAUUGCCCAAUGGGGGAAACCCUGAUGCAGCCAUGCCGCGUGUAUGAAGAAGGCCUUCGGGUUGUAAAGUACUUUCAGUAGGGAGGAAGGCAGUGUCGUUAAUAGCGGCAUUGUUUGACGUUACCUACAGAAGAAGCACCGGCUAACUCCGUGCCAGCAGCCGCGGUAAUACGGAGGGUGCGAGCGUUAAUCGGAAUUACUGGGCGUAAAGCGCAUGCAGGCGGUCUGUUAAGCAAGAUGUGAAAGCCCGGGGCUCAACCUCGGAACAGCAUUUUGAACUGGCAGACUAGAGUCUUGUAGAGGGGGGUAGAAUUUCAGGUGUAGCGGUGAAAUGCGUAGAGAUCUGAAGGAAUACCGGUGGCGAAGGCGGCCCCCUGGACAAAGACUGACGCUCAGAUGCGAAAGCGUGGGGAGCAAACAGGAUUAGAUACCCUGGUAGUCCACGCCGUAAACGAUGUCUACUUGGAGGUUGUGGCCUUGAGCCGUGGCUUUCGGAGCUAACGCGUUAAGUAGACCGCCUGGGGAGUACGGUCGCAAGAUUAAAACUCAAAUGAAUUGACGGGGGCCCGCACAAGCGGUGGAGCAUGUGGUUUAAUUCGAUGCAACGCGAAGAACCUUACCUACUCUUGACAUCCAGAGAACUUUCCAGAGAUGGAUUGGUGCCUUCGGGAACUCUGAGACAGGUGCUGCAUGGCUGUCGUCAGCUCGUGUUGUGAAAUGUUGGGUUAAGUCCCGCAACGAGCGCAACCCUUAUCCUUGUUUGCCAGCACUUCGGGUGGGAACUCCAGGGAGACUGCCGGUGAUAAACCGGAGGAAGGUGGGGACGACGUCAAGUCAUCAUGGCCCUUACGAGUAGGGCUACACACGUGCUACAAUGGCGUAUACAGAGGGCUGCCAACUCGCGAGAGUGAGCGAAUCCCAGAAAGUACGUCGUAGUCCGGAUUGGAGUCUGCAACUCGACUCCAUGAAGUCGGAAUCGCUAGUAAUCGUGAAUCAGAAUGUCACGGUGAAUACGUUCCCGGGCCUUGUACACACCGCCCGUCACACCAUGGGAGUGGGCUGCACCAGAAGUAGNU